UUCAAGGAGGAGGCGGCUCAUCGGAGCCAGAGAACAGCUGGCGGUUGGACCAUCAGAGGUGACACUCAGGGAGUCCAGUGGCAGAGGCUGACCAGGUCUGCGUGGCCCACACCGUGACGGUCUACUGCAGUGAGUCCCCGUUUUACAGCUUUUCUGUGAAUCGGGGCAGAUUUGAUGAGCAAAAAUAUACGUUGUCGCCCUGGCGGGUGGAUCAGUUGAUUGAGUGUCGUACUGUCCACCAAAACGGUCCUGGGUGCGAUCUCCAGUCAGGGAAACGCCGGCCCUCUUCAGCAGGAAGCAGCUACCGGAGAGACCCUGCGCCCCUUUCCCCGAGGAAUGCAGAGCCAGGAGUUCAGGGCGGGAUGCGGCAGGCAGUGGAGAGGCCUGGGCAGGUGUGGAAGUUGCUGGGAAGCAGAGUCUCAACAGGUCGGAGUAAUGCUCGGAGAAUGGCGGCUUUUCACCUUGCUUUAUACGUGACCGUCGAAGGAAAAGA
Myotis myotis is the source of this 493-nucleotide long non-coding RNA. RefSeq lists it as uncharacterized. NCBI's taxonomy places the organism in Eukaryota, Metazoa, Chordata, Mammalia, Chiroptera, Vespertilionidae. The record is from RefSeq and is a predicted model, not a curated record. The transcript is spliced from 5 exons.